UAGCAUAUCAAUAAGCGGAGGAAAAGAAACCAACAGGGAUUGCCUCAGUAACGGCGAGUGAAGCGGCAACAGCUCAAAUUUGAAAUCUGGCGCAAGCCCGAGUUGUAAUUUGCAGAGGAUGUUUCGGGUGAAGCCACGGUCCAAGUCCCUUGGAACAGGACGUCAUAGAGGGUGAGAACCCCGUACCUGGCCGUCGGUGCCCCCCGCUGUGAAACUCCUUCGACGAGUCGAGUUGUUUGGGAAUGCAGCUCUAAAUUGGUGGUAAAUUCCAUCUAAAGCUAAAUACCGGCCAGAGACCGAUAGCGCACAAGUAGAGUGAUCGAAAGAUGAAAAGCACUUUGAAAAGAGAGUUAAAAAGUACGUGAAAUUGUUGAAAGGGAAGCGCUUGCGGCCAGACUUGCCCGCGGUUGCUCAGCCCGCCUUUUGGCGGGUGCACUCUUCCGCGGUCAGGCCAGCAUCGGUUUGGGCGGCCGGAUAAAGGCGCCGGGAACGUGGCCUCCCCUCGGGGAGGUGUUAUAGCCCGGCGUGCAAUGCGGCCAGCCCGGACCGAGGUUCGCGCUCUGCUAGGAUGCUGGCGUAAUGGCCGUAAGCGGCCCGUCUUGAAACACGGACCAAGGAGUCUAACAUCUAUGCGAGUGUUUGGGUGUCAAACCCGUGCGCGUAAUGAAAGUGAACGGAGGUGGGAACCGCAAGGUGCACCAUCGACCGAUCCUGAUGUCUUCGGAAGGAUUUGAGUAAGAGCAUAGCUGUUGGGACCCGAAAGAUGGUGAACUAUGCGUGAAUAGGGUGAAGCCAGAGGAAACUCUGGUGGAGGCUCGCAGCGGUUCUGACGUGCAAAUCGAUCGUCAAAUUUGCGUAUAGGGGCGAAAGACUAAUCGAACCAUUUAGUAGCUGGUUCCUGCCGA
This 905-nucleotide ribosomal RNA is filed under the name Venturia nashicola. RNAcentral describes it as "partial large subunit ribosomal RNA". It matches the Rfam family "Eukaryotic large subunit ribosomal RNA", at positions 36 to 964 of the family's 3401-position model. The record is from RNAcentral. Lineage: Eukaryota; Fungi; Ascomycota; Dothideomycetes; Venturiales; Venturiaceae.